GACGAACGCUGGCGGCGUGCUUAACACAUGCAAGUCGAACGGAAAGGCCCUGCUUUUGUGGGGUGCUCGAGUGGCGAACGGGUGAGUAACACGUGAGUAACCUGCCCUUGACUUUGGGAUAACUUCAGGAAACUGGGGCUAAUACCGGAUAGGAGCUCCUGCUGCAUGGUGGGGGUUGGAAAGUUUCGGCGGUUGGGGAUGGAUUCGCGGCUUAUCAGCUUGUUGGUGGGGUAGUGGCUUACCAAGGCUUUGACGGGUAGCCGGCCUGAGAGGGUGACCGGCCACAUUGGGACUGAGAUACGGCCCAGACCCCUACGGGAGGCAGCAGUGGGGAAUAUUGCACAAUGGGCGGAAGCCUGAUGCAGCAACGCCGCGUGCGGGAUGACGGCCUUCGGGUUGUAAACCGCUUUCGCCUGUGACGAAGCGUGAGUGACGGUAAUGGGUAAAGAAGCACCGGCUAACUACGUG
This 468-nucleotide ribosomal RNA is filed under the name uncultured bacterium. Its description in RNAcentral is "partial 16S ribosomal RNA". It matches the Rfam family "Bacterial small subunit ribosomal RNA", at positions 28 to 507 of the family's 1533-position model. The record is from RNAcentral.